CACUAGUGAUUAGAGUUUGAUCCUGGCUCAGAUUGAACGCUGGCGGCAGGCCUAACAUAUGCAAGUCGAGCGGAUGAGGGGAGCCUUGCAUCCCUUGAUUUAGCGGCGGACGGGUGAGUAAUGCCCUAGGAAUCUGCCUGGUAGUGGGGGAUAACGUUCCGAAAGGAACGCUAAUACCGCAUACGUCCUACGGGAGAAAGCAGGGGACCUUCGGGCCUUGCGCUAUCAGAUGAGCCUAGGUCGGAUUAGCUAGUUGGUGAGGUAAUGGCUCACCAAGGCGACGAUCCGUAACUGGUCUGAGAGGAUGAUCAGUCACACUGGAACUGAGACACGGUCCAGACUCCUACGGGAGGCAGCAGUGGGGAAUAUUGGACAAUGGGCGAAAGCCUGAUCCAGCCAUGCCGCGUGUGUGAAGAAGGUCUUCGGAUUGUAAAGCACUUUAAGUUGGGAGGAAGGGCAUUAACCUAAUACGUUAGUGUUUUGACGUUACCAACAGAAUAAGCACCGGCUAACUUCGUGCCAGCAGCCGCGGUAAUACGAAGGGUGCAAGCGUUAAUCGGAAUUACUGGGCGUAAAGCGCGCGUAGGUGGUUCGUUAAGUUGGAUGUGAAAGCCCCGGGCUCAACCUGGGAACUGCAUCCAAAACUGGCGAGCUAGAGUACGGUAGAGGGUGGUGGAAUUUCCUGUGUAGCGGUGAAAUGCGUAGAUAUAGGAAGGAACACCAGUGGCGAAGGCGACCACCCUGGACUGAUGCUGACCACUGAGGUGCGAAAGCGUGGGGAGCCAAACAGGAUUAGAUACCCUGGUAGUCCACGCCGUAAACGAUGUCNACCUAGCCGUUGGAAUCCUUGAGAUUUUAGUUGNCGCAGCUAACGCAUUAASUUGACCGCCUGGGGAGUA
RNAcentral lists this ribosomal RNA (899 nucleotides) under uncultured bacterium. Its description in RNAcentral is "bacterial SSU rRNA". It matches the Rfam family "Bacterial small subunit ribosomal RNA", at positions 1 to 882 of the family's 1533-position model. The record is from RNAcentral.